UCUUAAUAUUAUUGUAGGCACAAAUGAAUUGGAGUCCGCAGCCAACAAGAAACCGAAGCACUCUUCAGGAGUGAGGAUUUUUUAUUUUUAUUGUGUUAUGCAAGUGUCAUGAUAGGUGCUUCAAACGAAAAGGGUGCUCAGUUUCGGGCCUGAUCCUUCAGUCUCUAGGCAGACGAGUCGCCCAAAGGCGCAGCCUAAAUCGGGAUUACUCAAGUGAGUAGAGGCUGCAGACAUGGGUCGCUCCGAUGGCACGACAGCCCGCGUCCGGCUGUUUAGGAUCUCAUCACCCCCAGGAAAUGGAUUGAUGCUAUUUCUAUUGCCUGAAUAUUUCUUUACUGCUCCCCCAGCCUCUCUCGGCGCACAGGUCAGCCUGCAGCGAGUCUCCUACCAAGCAUAGGCAGAUCCUUUGUGCAUAAAUCCAACUCGAGCUUCGCCUACAAGCAAGGCGCUGCAACCAGAAUGAACAUUCUUACUUAUUGAGUUACUUUCUAGCAGAGAGACCAGGAGAUGUAAGAACAUUUUGCAGCUGAUGGAUUACCAUAAUAUAGAGUAACUACUGAGGCCUUUGUAAGAAGAAUGGAUUCCAGAGUGUAUCAAGUAGUAUCAGCAGUCACAAAGAGGCCUCCCUGACUGAGAGAAGAUUAUCGUUCUCUUGAUGGGCCUAGGCCCACCAUGCCUGGCAUAACUAAUUGGCCUGAAGCUCUGCUCCUGCCCUUCGCUGAACUGCUUCUGUCUUGACAGCAUGAAAGUUUCAACAGAGGAGAGAUUCCUUCCCUUUGUCCAAGAACUGCCUAUAGCCGGGUGUUGAGAGCACUUGCUUAUGAGGGUAAGGAAUACAGGUUUGAAUCAACUCAUUCCUAAGGAGAAAUAGAACCCAGACCUGCCACAGCCUGAAUACUCUACCCACUCAGCUUGUGUGAGGUUGGCAGUGGGAUGGAGGCAUCGUCACUACCACUGCCUUCUCCUCCUCGUGUCUCAAAGAAAAGUAAGACCAAAGGAACAGAUUGACUACCUAAUUCAUACAAGAGGUUCCAGGCUUUAAUUUCUGAUCUGAUAUAGCCAAUUCUAUGUAGCCUUGAGCUGGGUAUUUAUCAAUGUUUCCCACUAGAUAGUUUAAGUGCUUCAAGGUUCAAUUUUUGGUGCCUGUUCUGAUUCCCCUUCUGAAUCACCGGACUCUCCCCAUGUACUGUAUAGGGGACUUAGGUGCCCAAUUCAGGAUGUUGAUCCAACUCCAGAAACCAGGCGCCAAAAAUUUGUCAUUGUGACUAUUAGCAUUGGAGCACCUAAGUUCCUUUUUGGAUUUGUCAUUGAUUUUAAACAUAAUGUUAAUAAAAAUGAAUAUUGGAUAGCAUCUUCAACUGUGUCUCCCUAAAAAUCCCCCCUUCUCCCUUGUUUAGCUGUCAGUCUCUUGUUUUGUGUGAUGGUAUUAUUUCACUAGCUCCUCAGUUGCCACUGAAUCUUCAAGGGCAGAUGACACCUGAGUUUGCAAUGUAUUUUUCUUUAUAUAAAACAAUAAACGUCUCUCUCUCUCUCUCUCAGCCUUUCAAUACUUCACCAUUCAAUAUUAAAAAGAGGGGAAAACAUAGCAGAAACAAGCUCAUUUCCACCUGCCACCACUUUCUACCUUUGUGCCUUGACUGUUAGGAAUCUGAGAUUAUGUAAAAUGGCUGCAAAACGCUUCUAUUCUGAUUUAGUAAUGUUUACACCAUCCAUAUUACACUUGGAUUUAAAUGACUAUGCACGUUGUAAGGCAGUGGAGAAUUGUUCCCUAUGUUUAUGAACAAAGCAGGGAAACAGCAAUUUGAUCUGUUGUUUUAUCAUUUAUCAGUUCUCCCUGCUUAUUUCAAAUUUAUCAAUUAUAUUCUUCCUUCAAGGUCAGAUCAUCUUGCAUUUAAUAGUAAUGUGAGGAAAGACUGUUUCUAUUCAAUGAAAAUCUCAAUUUUAGUAUAUCGUUGCGUUUUAAGGUUAUAAUGCCCAGGUAGCAUUCUGAUAUUAAAAAAAAAAAAAUCUUUACUUAAGCUAGGGGUUUUAAAUCAUUGAGUUGUUAUAUUUAUUAGAGGGAUUAUACAUUUGAUUCAAUUUAAAGUGUUUUACUAAUGUUUUUGAGACUUAAGCCUGUCUUCACAUUCUUGCUGAAAUAAAAGAAACUGAUUGUGCUAACUCAACACACACUGUUUGAAAAUCUUUUUGUUUGAAGGAUAGGGUAGAAUAACAAUUCGGUAUCUGAGGAUGGCUCUACUUUUGAUGUGAAUUUCUCAAGAUCACCUGUAAUAAAGAUAUGUAAAAAUACUCUUCUGUCCACUUACAUGUGUAGCCUGUGACAUGACAGGAAGAAAUGAAAAGUAGUAAUAAGAAUUCUUUAGGUCAGUCAACCUAACUCUUAGACUAAGUAGAAAUUGAAAAUUCAAGCUACAAAAAUAGGUGCCUAAUUUUGUUAAUUAAAUAAGUGAUCUGAUUUCCAGAGAUGCUAAGCCUUAAGAGAACUUUUUUUUCUUCAAUAACAAAAAUAUUAAAAUAGUACUUAUAUUAUGGAACCCCUUUCAAUGGGGUGAUAGGGGUCUUGCAUUACUAUUCAGUUCCAGUAUGAAUGUUAAGAGCCAUUCUUUUAAAUUGCUAAAAUGAGAGGCUAGCAUUGUGUACUAUUUGCAAAGUAAAACUAAGAUUUUGAAAGAAGGUGUCAUUGACUCUAUCUGUAAGCUCUUGAUCUGAAGGCCACUAGGAUCAGAUUGGAAUGAAUGUGAUUAGGCAGGAGGCAAGACGGUAAUUGGAACAAUGUGUGUCCCAUUGCUGCUCCCCAAUUUUGAAAUGUUACAGAUGACCAAAAAUUGUAACCCUCUUCCCAAGAUGUAUUUCCCAUUAGAAACAAGGGCUUACAGGUUUUGAGUCAUGUAAAACUUUAGUUUUCAUCUCCUAUGGUUCUUGAUGCAUUUUAUGAAAAUAUUGCAAAUAAUUUCAAUGAAAUGAAUGAAUUUGCAUGAAAAUAAUUUUGGUGAUCUCUUGGGUCAUGCAAGAAAAUCCAACAGCAAGAGCAACCAGGAUGCUUUCAGUGUUAUGGCUCAUUAUUUCUCUCUCUUUCUGGUCAGCAGGAUCACCGUAUUUUCUUGCAUAGCGCACACCCCAAAAUAAGGCACCUUGCUUUGGGAAAACAGAAUGAAGAAAAAUACAUUUUUUCAGGGCUUUCUCUGCCACAGCAUGGACUCACUGUUGAUGAAUGCUCUCAGGCACAUGCGUUACUCAUCCCCUCCUUCCAACUCCAAAAGCUGCUUCCAAUUUAAUCCUGUGACAGGAUUAAAACUUGAGCUUUGGAGCUUGAAAGAGGGGAUGAGUAACUGGAAAUCAGACUCUGCCCGUCCUGUAUGGGCUCAGGAAGGCAGUGCAACCCCUGGCAGUCAUUACAAUAUCCUCAUACAUGCCUUUUGGUAAGGAAAUUGGUCUCCUCGCUUAAACACACCAGUAAUGGAUGGCUAAUUUUGGGGGGGAAAGACACGUGGUAUACAAGUAAAUACAGUAGUGCCGCUAAUAAACCUGGUAGAAUCUAUCUCCUUUUUGUGGAUGCUGUUGAUGCUAGUAAGCUUGCCGUAGAGUAGUUGUGGAAAAUGUGUCCCAGUGACAGUGUUCUGGAUCUAGUCUGCAGAGUAGGGAACAAAUCUAGCAGGUACUAGCUGAAGCUCAAGAGGUGGUGCAUUGUAAUCCUCAUUUUGAUCUCUCUCAUGAAUUGAGAGAAGGAAACAGAAGAGUAGAAGCACAAUUUUAACAUCAGGGGAAAGGACAUUUCUUAUUUUCAGGAGGGAGGAAUUUUCUUAUGUUUGCCACAUGCAUCAAGAGUUUUCAAAGUACUAGUGAUUUUUAAACGUGAAACACCUUCAAGAGGGCUUGAUUUUCACGAAGUGCCUAGUUCUCUGUCUUUGGAAAUUGGCUCUAUUUCUAUAGUCUGAAGUUGGGCACCUAAAAUUGCUAGCUGCGUUUGAAAAUCUUGGCUUUCUUGUGCAGUCUUUUUUGCCAAUACUUUGGAAGUGAGAUUUCUGCUGAAUAGUACUCCCUGUUAUUUUGUGUUAAUUUUAACUCAUGUUUAAUUUAAUGGCAAGUGUGUGUAUGUGUGGAAACACUAAUGGCUUUGUUUCUUGGCCAGCACAAAGAUUGUAUUUCUCUGUGUUGUUAACUUUGUGUCAUCGCAGAAGGUAGACUAACUUUAUUUUGAGUUUGUCUUAUUUUUGCUUGACAUUUUAGGAUGAAUAGCUCAGCAUAACAAAUUAUUAUAUAUGCUUUAGCUUCAAGCUUUUAAUGUGGAAUCCAAGUUUUAGCAUCAGGAUCCAAUUAAAUGAUAGUUCAAUCUGACUUGAAAAAUUAAUGGUCCAGAACAGAAAGCCUGUCACAUUUUUUUUGAAGUUCUUAUUUUCAGUAUUCCUGUUUUAAAUAAAAAUCUGGAUGCAACCCAGUAACAUAAAGCUGCAUGUUCUUUCAUCAACUGAACAUAGCUACACCUGAACGUGAAGAUUAUAAGUAAAUAACUGUUAUUAAAUAUAGCGUUUUAUUUGGCUGCAUAGGUGUUAUUAGUUACAAAAUGGUGUGGUGGUGUCCUAUUCAAAAAAGUUUAUAUUGCUACUGUUUGCUGCCCUUUGCAGGAGAUAUGAUUUGAACUUUGUAAAUCAUUAUUCUAUAAUUAUAUGUCAUCCACAAUGACAGUUAGAACAUUCAACUUCUGUUGACGCAUGAAUUGGACAUAUUGAUUUUUAAUUUUAACGAUAUACAGAUUGGCAAGUAAUAAAUUUUGAUGAAAACAUCUGCUUAAAAUGUGUUUAAUAUACCCUGAGUGAGAAUAAUGGUUUACAAUUAAGUGAAAGUGGAGGAUUCAGAUUUGUAUAUAAAACAGUGAUGCAUGAUGCUAUGGGCACCUUAUACCAAAAAGGAAGGCAAUGCCUUUAAUUUCACUACAGUUUAAACAUAUCGUUCACUGCUUUCCUGAUUUACUUGCAUUUAGCAUUUUAGCCAAAAAAAGAUUUCGUGGCAGAGUAUUGAGAGCAUUAGUUUUUUGAAAACUAAAUUACUGUAGCUUUACUGGAAAUUGUCUUUUUAUGUUUGCAAAAGUUACAUUUGUUCUCAUCACCCAGCAACUUUCCUGCAGUUAUAGUCUUGGCCACACUUCCCACUUUUUAAUCUCUUGUUACCCUUAAACUUCCUCUCCAUUUGUCUUAUUUUUGGCAUUAUUUUUAUAGAGCUGUGCAUUUCCACUGUAAUGGGACAGACACACUGUUAUAUACCAGUUGGGAAAUGUAUUUAAAGUAAUUGAAAAAAUAAAAAACAACCAUUCAAACUAAA
This is a long non-coding RNA of Alligator mississippiensis (American alligator), 5316 nucleotides long. RefSeq lists it as uncharacterized. The transcript is spliced from 4 exons. Lineage: Eukaryota; Metazoa; Chordata; Crocodylia; Alligatoridae. The record is from RefSeq and is a predicted model, not a curated record.